RNAcentral lists this ribosomal RNA (388 nucleotides) under uncultured bacterium. RNAcentral's name for it is "bacterial SSU rRNA". It matches the Rfam family "Bacterial small subunit ribosomal RNA", at positions 28 to 417 of the family's 1533-position model. The record is from RNAcentral.
GACGAACGCUGGCGGCGUGCUUAACACAUGCAAGUCGAGCGGUAAGGCCCUUUCGGGGGUACACGAGCGGCGAACGGGUGAGUAACACGUGGGUGACCUGCCCUCAGCUCUGGGAUAAGCCUGGGAAACCGGGUCUAAUACCGGAUAUGACUCCAUGACGCAUGCUGUGGGGUGGAAAGCCUUGUGCGGCUGAGGAUGGGCCCGCGGCCUAUCAGCUUGUUGGUGGGGUGAUGGCCUACCAAGGCGACGACGGGUAGCCGGCCUGAGAGGGCGACCGGCCACACUGGGACUGAGACACGGCCCAGACUCCUACGGGAGGCAGCAGUGGGGAAUCUUGCGCAAUGGGCGAAAGCCUGACGCAGCGACGCCGCGUGAGGGAUGACGGCCU